GAGCAUCUCCAUCCACUCCCUCCUGAGGUAGUGACAGACCCUGUGCUGCUUGUGCACCUGCUCCUGAACGCCUAUCCUCCUGCCCAACGAGAUGUCCUGCCAGCAGAGCCAGCAGUGCGUCCCCAAGUGCCCUCCCAAGUGCUGCACCCCAAAAUGCCCUCCUAAGUGUUCCCCCAAGUGCCCUCCAGUCUCUUCUUGCUGCAGUGUCAGCUCUGGGGGCUGCUGUGGCUCUGGGGGUGGUGGCUGCUGUAGCUCUGGGGGUGGUGGCUGCUGCAGCUCUGGGGGUGGUGGCUGCUGCCUGAGCCACCACAAGCCCCGCAGGUCUCACCGCUUCAGACACAGAAGGUCUGACUGCUGCAGCUCAGGGGGCUCCAGCUGCUGCGGAGGGGGCUCUGGAGGGGGCUCCAGCUGCUGCGGAGGGAGCAGUAGUCAGUCCUCAGGAGGCUGCUGCGGAGGGGGCUCCAGCUAUGGAGGGGGCUAUGGUCAGUCCUCAGGAGGCUGCUGCGGAGGGGGCUCCAGCUAUGGAGGGGGCUAUGGUCAGUCCUCUGGAGGCUGCUGCGGAGGGGGCUCCAGCUAUGGAGGGGGCUAUGGUCAGUCCUCUGGAGGCUGCUGUGGAGGGGGCUCCAGCUAUGGAGGGGGCUGUGGCCAGUCCUCUGGAGGCUGCUGCUAAAGUGGACCCUGAGCCAAGAAGAGCAGCAUCAGAGGCACUAAAGGAGCAAGACCAUCUUCCUUGGGCCUGCCUGUGUUGCUGAGACAUUUUAGUGAAGAUUUCAAGUUCUGUUCUGGAAGAUUCUUCUGACUGGGAAUCCAGAAAUCUGUGUCCUCUUCGAACAUCUCAUCUCCCGACCUCUGAUCCCACCUUUGCAGCUUGCCCUGGGAACCCCAGAUUAUUUCUUUGGCUGGCCCCUUCUUGAAGGGAAACAAUAAAACAGUCUGCUCCCCAA
Myotis myotis is the source of this 944-nucleotide long non-coding RNA. RefSeq lists it as uncharacterized. The transcript is spliced from 2 exons. The record is from RefSeq and is a predicted model, not a curated record. Lineage: Eukaryota; Metazoa; Chordata; Mammalia; Chiroptera; Vespertilionidae.